Molecule: transfer RNA, 72 nt
Organism: Ovis aries (sheep)
Lineage: Eukaryota; Metazoa; Chordata; Mammalia; Artiodactyla; Bovidae
Rfam family: tRNA
About the family: Transfer RNA (tRNA) molecules are approximately 80 nucleotides in length. Their secondary structure includes four short double-helical elements and three loops (D, anti-codon, and T loops).
Source: Rfam
UCCCUGGUGGCUCAGCUGGUAUAGAAUCCGCCUGCAAUGCAGGAGACCUGGGUUCGAUCCCUGGUUUGGGAA